AGUGAACGCUGGCGGUAGGCCUAACACAUGCAAGUCGAACGGCAGCACAGUAAGAGCUUGCUCUUACGGGUGGCGAGUGGCGGACGGGUGAGGAAUACAUCGGAAUCUACUUUUUCGUGGGGGAUAACGUAGGGAAACUUACGCUAAUACCGCAUACGACCUACGGGUGAAAGCAGGGGAUCUUCGGACCUUGCGCGAUUGAAUGAGCCGAUGUCGGAUUAGCUAGUUGGCGGGGGAAAGGCCCACCAAGGCGACGAUCCGUAGCUGGUCUGAGAGGAUGAUCACCCACACUGGAACUGAGACACGGUCCAGGCUCCUACGGGAGGCAGCAGUGGGGAAUAUUGGACAAUGGGCGCAAGCCUGAUCCAGCCAUACCGCGUGGGUGAAGAAGGCCUUCGGGUUGUAAAGCCCUUUUGUUGGGAAAGAAAAGCAGCAGGUUAAUACCCCGCUGUUCUGACGGUACCCAAAGAAUAAGCACCGGCUAACUUCGUG
RNAcentral lists this ribosomal RNA (492 nucleotides) under uncultured bacterium. RNAcentral's name for it is "partial 16S ribosomal RNA". It matches the Rfam family "Bacterial small subunit ribosomal RNA", at positions 29 to 507 of the family's 1533-position model. The record is from RNAcentral.